This 218-nucleotide long non-coding RNA is filed under the name Brassica napus (rape). RNAcentral describes it as "long non-coding RNA (BNAP_LNC020061)". Lineage: Eukaryota; Viridiplantae; Streptophyta; Magnoliopsida; Brassicales; Brassicaceae. The record is from RNAcentral.
AUCUCAAAGUCGGAACUUCUCUUGUCACCUUGGGAAGAGGACAUUUUGAAAGCUAAAGUGUAGGAGAGAGGCUAGAGAGGAUUUGGGAAGAAAUGAAAGAUGAGGGCUCGCUACUUAUAGAGGUAUGAGCUUAGGAUUUCGAUUUAUUAUAAUAUAUAUUUCCUCGUUGACGUUCCUCUGCGGAAUUCUGAAUGUAAACUUCGUCCGACACGCCUAUC